UAAGGAGCACGCCAUGCAAUAUCGUUUUGCCGGGUGGCCCAUUGCUGGCUGCCCUUCUG
This is a regulatory RNA element of 59 nucleotides. It matches the Rfam family "Lambda phage CIII thermoregulator element". Rfam says of the family: There is an evidence supporting presence of a riboswitch upstream of the thermometer. The record is from Rfam.